GACGAACGCUGGCGGCGUGCCUAAUACAUGCAAGUUGAGCGAUCAAACGAGGUACUUGUUCCAACUACAUGAGCAGCGAACGGGUGAGUAACGCGUGGAUAAUCUGCCUUUAAGCGUGGGAUAACAUCGGGAAACGAAUGCUAAUACCGCAUAAAAACUUUAAACACAAGUUUUAAGAUUGAAAGAUGCAAUUGCAUCACUCAAAGAUGAUCCCGCCUCCUAUUAGCUAGUUUGGGAGGUUAAGGCCCACCAAAGGCAAGAUACAUAACCCACCCUAGAGGGGGAUCCGGCCACAUUGGAAUGAGAAACCGCCCAAACUUCCACGGGGGGCAGCAGUAAGGAAUCCUUCGCCAUUGAGGAAAGUCUGACCGAGGAACGGCGCGUGAGUUAAUGAGGUUUUUCGAAUCGAAAAACUUUGUUGUUGGGAAGAACGUUGUUUGUAAGUAAAUGUGCACCAAGUGACGGUACCUAAUCAGAAAGCGACGGCUAACUACGUG
RNAcentral lists this ribosomal RNA (497 nucleotides) under uncultured bacterium. RNAcentral's name for it is "partial 16S ribosomal RNA". It matches the Rfam family "Bacterial small subunit ribosomal RNA", at positions 28 to 507 of the family's 1533-position model. The record is from RNAcentral.